Paramuricea clavata is the source of this 1193-nucleotide non-coding RNA. NCBI's taxonomy places the organism in Eukaryota, Metazoa, Cnidaria, Anthozoa, Malacalcyonacea, Plexauridae. The record is from the annotation of a GenBank genome assembly.
CCAUUUCCUGCAUUCUGAGCAUCCAAAUUUGCUCUAAAAUUUAUGCUAACUAUACUUGUAUUUGAAAUAAAAGAAGGGAAAAAUGCACAAAAAGUAAAGAAGAAUAUUAACCGUAGUAGAUUUAUCAUUAUACUUAUCAGAGGGGGAUACCAAUGACCGAAGGCCACGUGUGUGGGGGCAUAAUCUCCAGAAAGUUUUUCAAAUUUGAAAGGGGGCAUUUCCCCCCCCCCCAGCUUGUAUGUUAAAAAAGGCUUUGGAUGGAUAGCAAUUUGGUUGACCGAAACUGAAUUGGACUUUCAAAUCGAUGAAGUGAAAAAUAUUUUUUUACCAAUGUCAAUUAAUUAAAGAAAAUGAUUCCUUGAUAUUUGCGAGAUUCGAAUGCUAGACACGACAGACCAUACGCUUGUCGGUGGCAAUAUUAUGCGUAGAAAGUUAAUGUAAAGUGCCAAAAAAUUCCCAAUGGGACUCUAAAUUUAAUCUAAACUACUGUGGAAUAACGCGAGAUCAACUAAUUUAUCUGCAAAUUACUCGUUUGACAUGACACUGAAAUUAGUUCUAAUUAAUUCUCAUGUGAUUUCAAAGGGUCCACCUCUUUGGGCUAUUAGUAAAACCAGGAACACCGGAACACUGGAACAGCAUCAUUCCGGAACACGGAACACCGGAACACUAAAAAUUCUUAAUUUGUUAAAAAUUCGAAAAAAAAUACCGGGGGGGGGGGGUGAAAGUAUUGCUGCAAUAAUUAUUGCGUAAAACGUGCUUUUUUAAUUUUCUGACUUGGCUGACGAUAGCUACUAAUAACGAACAGAGAUCCUCACAGAAAUCAGUCUGAAAGUAAUAAAUAUUUGCCCAAAUUGAAUAGAAUUGUUAUUUGUUGAGAAUAAAUGGCCCAUCUUUGUUUGUUGUUCAAAACAUGUCAAUCAAAAUAUUAAAGUAACAACAGUUGAUUGCCUUCCUUGUUUUUACCGACUUAGCUACUUUUGAUUUGCAAAAGAUAAUUUUCAAUUCUCGUUCGAAGUUGGCAUUUAGCAUCAAGGCCAUGUAAGUUGUAUAUAUAAAUGAUGUUUCAACGCAUGCAUGUGUGUCUAUUCGUCUAUGUUUAUUGUUUAAACUGUAAAUUAAACUGAUACUCAGUGAGGGAAUUUUUGUACGAGCUCGAGCCGGUUUUCGCUUGCCCUGAGAUUCAUUGUUGGCAG